UGCCCCGUAGCUCAACCGGAAGAGCACCGGACUACGAAUCCGAAGGUUGCAGGUUCGACUCCUGUCGGGGUGA
This 73-nucleotide transfer RNA is filed under the name Phycisphaeraceae bacterium. RNAcentral's name for it is "tRNA-Arg". It matches the Rfam family "tRNA". Rfam says of the family: Transfer RNA (tRNA) molecules are approximately 80 nucleotides in length. Lineage: Bacteria; Pseudomonadati; Planctomycetota; Phycisphaerae; Phycisphaerales; Phycisphaeraceae. The record is from RNAcentral.